This 1243-nucleotide ribosomal RNA is filed under the name metagenome. Its description in RNAcentral is "bacterial LSU rRNA". It matches the Rfam family "Bacterial large subunit ribosomal RNA", at positions 1564 to 2816 of the family's 2925-position model. The record is from RNAcentral.
UGAUGACGAGACGCUAAGGCGUUGAAGCAGUGUAUGUCAGACUUCCAAGAAAAGCUCGCAAUGUCACAAAUAAAAGAUGCCUGUACCAUAACCGACACAGGUGGGUAGGUAGAGUAUACUAAGGGGCGCGAGAUAACUCUCUCUAAGGAACUCGGCAAAAUGACUCCGUAACUUCGGGAGAAGGAGUGCCUUAUUUAUAAGGUUGCAAUAACAAGAUCCAAGCAACUGUUUAUCAAAAACACAGGUCUCCGCUAAGUCGUAAGACGAUGUAUGGGGGCUGACGCCUGCCCAGUGCCAGAAGGUUAAAGAAGUUGGUUAGUGUAUGCGAAGCUGAUGACUGAAGCCCUGGUGAACGGCGGCCGUAACGAUAACGGUCCUAAGGUAGCGAAAUUCCUUGUCGGGUAAGUUCCGACCCGCACGAAAGGCGUAAUGAUUUGGAUACUGUCUCGGAGAGAGGCUCGGUGAAAUAGACUUGUCUGUGAAGAUGCGGACUACCUGCACCAGGACAGAAAGACCCUAUGAAGCUUUACUGUAACUUGAAAUUGGAAUUGGACUUUGCUUGCGCAGUAUAGGUGGGAAGCGUUGAAAAUAUUCUUGCGGGAGUAUUGGAGCUAUCAGUGAGAUACCACUCUUGUAAUGUUAGAUUUCUAACUUUGAACCAUAAUCUGGUCAAAGAACAGUUUCAGGUGGGCAGUUUGACUGGGGCGGUCGCCUCCCAAAUGGUAACGGAGGCGUACAAAGGUUUCCUCUGAACGGAUAGAAAUCGUAUCUAGAGUGUAAAGGCAUAAGGAAGCUUGACUGUGAGACCUACAAGUCGAGCAGGGACGAAAGUCGGUCUUAGUGAUCUGACGGUACUGAGUGGAAAGGCCGUCACUCAACGGAUAAAAGUUACUCUAAGGAUAACAGGCUGAUCUCCCCCAAGAGUUCACAUCGACGGGGAGGUUUGGCACCUCGAUGUCGGCUCAUCGCAUCCUGGGGCGGUAGUACGUCCCAAGGGUUGGGCUGUUCGCCCAUGAAAGCGGUACGCGAGCUGGGUUCAGAACGUCGUGAGACAGUUCGGUCCAUAUCCGGUGUAGGCGCUAGAAUAUUGAGAGGAGCCUUCUUUAGUACGAGAGGACCGAGAAGGACACACCGCUGGUGUACCAGUUAUCGUGCCAACGGUAAACGCUGGGUAGCUAUGUGUGGAGUGGAUAACCGCUGAAAGCAUCUAAGUGGGAAGCCCACCUCGAGAUGAGUAUUCUCA